GAUUAACGCUGGCGGCGUGCAUAACACAUGCAAGUCGAACGAUGAAACUUAGUAGACUUCUUCGGAAAGACACUAAGCGGCUUAGUGGCGAACGGGUGAGUAACGCGUGAGUAACCUGCCUUACACAAGGGGAUAGCCUUUGGAAACGAAGAAUAAUACCCUAUAAAACUAUAAAAGCACAUGCUAUAAUGGUCAAAGUGAUAGCGGUGUAAGAUGGACUUGCGUCUGAUUAGCUAGUUGGUGAGAUAAAAGCUCACCAAGGCAACGAUCAGUAGCCGGCUUGAGAGAGUGUACGGCCACAUUGGGACUGAGACACGGCCCAGACUCCGACGGGAGGCAGCAGUGGGGAAUUUUGCACAAUGGGGGAAACCCUGAUGCAGCGACGCCGCGUGAUUUAGAAGGCCUUCGGGUUGUAAAAAUCUUUUGUAUAGGAAGAAAAUGACAGUACUAUACGAAUAAGGUCCGGCUAAUUACGUG
Molecule: ribosomal RNA, 477 nt
Filed under: uncultured bacterium
Lineage: Bacteria
Description: partial 16S ribosomal RNA
Rfam family: Bacterial small subunit ribosomal RNA
Source: RNAcentral